GAAAAGCUUUAGUACCAGACUAACUAUCUUCUUCUUCUUCACAAAGCCUUUCUCUACGGGUCAAUUUUAUUUUUCCUUUUGUUCUUCGUCCUGUUAGUCGCAUUGAAAGUUAUGAUGAAAAUUCAAAUUGAGCUAUUGUUUUUAGACACUACAAUGAAGAUGAUGAAGAAGAAAGGGGCACGAGAAAGGUUACUAGUAAGAAGAAAUUGAUCUCAUUUGAUUCAUUCCAAGGUAUUCCAAGCUUAAUAAACAAUUUGAAAUUGUUCUAAUUCAGCUAUAAGAAGUAUUGGCUUUUGGGUUUAGUUUUGUUUCCUUCGAAUUCAUUUAUGAUUUGGAUUUUUGAGUAAUUUAGGGUUUGACUUAUAGAUGAUUAAUUGGCAUUGAAUGAGAAAGGUUGUUCAAGUAUUUCAAUUGGUGAAGCAUGGAAUGUAUUUAGGGAUUUGUUGUGGUCCGAAUUUGGUUUUAAGUGAAGGUUCUUGAUCUAGAAAUACACAGAGCAGAAGAUGGAUCAAGUUUGAGAUGGUUAUGGCCCUUCUGGGAUUGAUCUUCGAUGAUUAUGAUGAGCACUUUCAACUGUUAAAAAAGUCGAAGGAUUUAGUGUUGGCUACCUUGGUUUCUGGUGGUCGGUUUUGGAAAAUUAGUGAAGUGUUAGAAGUGGUUUUCGAGUACAAUACAAACAUAGAGCUGGUGAUAGGAGCUAUGAUGGUGUUUGGGGUCGAUUUUUAUGUCAAUUGGUGGCUGGAAUUGUGAGGGAGAAACCAACAGAGAAAUAGAGAUGGAAACAAGCUUCUAAUUGAACUGGUGGUUCUCUGUAUGGAGGUUUUGUUUUUAUAUGUCUGGAAUUUCAGAAACUUCAAUUGGAUUUGUUUCUGGCACAUGCUAACCAUGAUUGUUAUGGCUGUUUUAGAAGAUUCAGAGGAUGUUUUACAAGCCAGUAAGGAUGUUUUUACGAGUGAAUGGUAUCUGAUUGAUGUGUUAAGAUGGGUUGUGUUUGAAUUAAGUUUGCAGGGAAGGAUAAUUAAUUGGAACAGGAAACAAAUUUAACAGAGUUUCUCAAUCACCAAUUUGCGAAGGCAUAUGAAAUGUUGCAGGGAACUGGUGGGUGUUGUGUAGGUGAAAUUGUCUGUGAAAUUGAAGGUUGAAUCGGGGUGUGGUUUGUUUACUGGCUGAGCUAGCUGCAGAAGAGGAGGUGGAUUCAGAUGGAGUAGGAUCUGAUUACGGUAGCUGAAACUGGUGAUGAGCAAUGGUUGUGAAGAAUACAGCAAGAACAAUUGGGUAUUGAAGGUGUUGGUGGUGCCGUUGAGCAGUUAUGGGCAUGAGCUAUACAGGUGCAGUGUGCUGAGUUGAAAUAGAUUCAGUUGAACUGAAGCAAUAGCAGGUGAUGAGUGGUUGGACCUGAUGGUAGAUGGAGUAUAGCUGCUGCAUUUACACUUUGCAGAUACUAUUACUAUUGUAGGUUGUAUUGCAGUGCAGGAGGAAAGAUUAUGGAGAUACAUACAGUGUGGAUUCAGUGUCACAUUACAGUGAAUGAAGGUGAUGCUGAUGUUUGAAUGAAUAGAUGUAUGCUUAGGAACUUGACAAUGGUAAGCAGUUGCAGGUGCAGUUCAGCUGGUGUUGUUGCUACUGUUGGUGUUUAACACAAGAAUUAAGAAGGAAACGAGCUGUGGUUGUUUGCAUCUGAGAUUGCAGGGGAUACCUUGAUGCAUUGGCUGAGCAGAGAAUUUCAAAGAAGGAUGCAAUGGUAGUAUUGUUGCAGAGUGGUUGAAACAGUAUAGAUGAAGAAUCCGAGAAGCUAAGGAAUGGUGGGUGCUGUUAGACGUAAUUGAAGGUCAGAUGAAGAUUCUUGUUGUUGGUGAUGGGGGUCACGCAAUUAUGAAGUGGGAUCUGUUUUUGUUGAAAUGAAUAAGGGAGAUUGGCAGGUUCAGGACUUAGGGAAUGAGCUAAAUGUCCACAGCUAUGAUGAAGUAUGGAAGGUUUGUCUUAUCAAAAUUAGAAUUAGAAUUCUCACAAACAAAAAUAACAUACUAUUUGUUAUGUCAAAAGUCUGUAGUUCGUUGCAUACUGUCUCAGUGUGUUUGUGUAUUGAGGAUUUGGUUUACUCAGACGUAGCUGAUUUUAUUGUGUUCUUUCUGUAUUGCUUUUAACAAAGAAAAUGUGGUAAUAAUGACCCACAAGUGUGCUCUUCUUGCAUAUGAGUUGAAACGGAACUUCUUUGUGC
Long non-coding RNA from Papaver somniferum (opium poppy), 2218 nucleotides. RefSeq lists it as uncharacterized. NCBI's taxonomy places the organism in Eukaryota, Viridiplantae, Streptophyta, Magnoliopsida, Ranunculales, Papaveraceae. The record is from RefSeq and is a predicted model, not a curated record. The transcript is spliced from 2 exons.